RNAcentral lists this ribosomal RNA (727 nucleotides) under bacterium P2G231. RNAcentral describes it as "bacterial SSU rRNA". It matches the Rfam family "Bacterial small subunit ribosomal RNA", at positions 216 to 945 of the family's 1533-position model. Lineage: Bacteria; Pseudomonadati; Bacteroidota. The record is from RNAcentral.
CGGUAAAAGAUGAGCAUGCGUCCCAUUAGCUAGUUGGUAAGGUAACGGCUUACCAAGGCUACGAUGGGUAGGGGUCCUGAGAGGGAGAUCCCCCACACUGGUACUGAGACACGGACCAGACUCCUACGGGAGGCAGCAGUGAGGAAUAUUGGACAAUGGGCGCAAGCCUGAUCCAGCCAUGCCGCGUGCAGGAUGACGGUCCUAUGGAUUGUAAACUGCUUUUAUACGAGAAGAAACACUACUUCGUGAAGUAGCUUGACGGUAUCGUAAGAAUAAGGAUCGGCUAACUCCGUGCCAGCAGCCGCGGUAAUACGGAGGAUCCAAGCGUUAUCCGGAAUCAUUGGGUUUAAAGGGUCCGUAGGCGGUUUAAUAAGUCAGUGGUGAAAGCCCAUCGCUCAACGGUGGAACGGCCAUUGAUACUGUUAGACUUGAAUUAUUAGGAAGUAACUAGAAUAUGUAGUGUAGCGGUGAAAUGCUUAGAGAUUACAUGGAAUACCAAUUGCGAAGGCAGGUUACUACUAAUGGAUUGACGCUGAUGGACGAAAGCGUGGGUAGCGAACAGGAUUAGAUACCCUGGUAGUCCACGCCGUAAACGAUGGAUACUAGCUGUUGGAAGCAAUUUCAGUGGCUAAGCGAAAGUGAUAAGUAUCCCACCUGGGGAGUACGUUCGCAAGAAUGAAACUCAAAGGAAUUGACGGGGGCCCGCACAAGCGGUGGAGCAUGUGGU